This 85-nucleotide transfer RNA is filed under the name Thermoproteota archaeon. RNAcentral's name for it is "tRNA-Leu". It matches the Rfam family "tRNA". From Rfam's summary of the family: Transfer RNA (tRNA) molecules are approximately 80 nucleotides in length. Their secondary structure includes four short double-helical elements and three loops (D, anti-codon, and T loops). Lineage: Archaea; Thermoproteati; Thermoproteota. The record is from RNAcentral.
GCGGGGGUACCCUAGCCAGGUCAAAGGGGUAGGGCUCAGGUCCCUAUGGCGAAGACCUUCGUGGGUUCAAAUCCCACCCCCCGCA